Molecule: long non-coding RNA, 391 nt
Organism: Amblyraja radiata (thorny skate)
Lineage: Eukaryota; Metazoa; Chordata; Chondrichthyes; Rajiformes; Rajidae
Exons: 3
Source: RefSeq, a predicted model, not a curated record
GGAAUGAUACCCUAGAUACCCCAGCAGGGAUGACAGUGGAACAACAAUGGCAGGUGUUUCUGGGUAUAAUACAGAAGGUGCAGGAUCAGUUCAUUCCAAAGAGGAAGAAAGAUUCCAAUGGGACUAAGGGGUGACUGUGGUUGACAAGGGAAAUCAGGGACAGUAUAAAAAUAAAAGAGAAGAAGUAUAACAAAGCAAAGAUGAGCAGGAAGCCGGAAGAUUGGGAAACUUUUAAAGAGCAAUAGAAGAUAACUAAAAAGGCAAUACGGGGAGAAAAGAUGAGGUACGAAGGUAAGCAAGCCAAGAAUAUAAUGGAGAAUAGUAAAAGCGUCUUUACGUAUGUGAAGAGGAAAAGAUUAGUUAAGAUCAAAAUUAUUAAGGAAACAAGGAA